RNAcentral lists this long non-coding RNA (1178 nucleotides) under Parus major (Great Tit). Its description in RNAcentral is "lncRNA (ENSPMJG00000010372.1)". Lineage: Eukaryota; Metazoa; Chordata; Aves; Passeriformes; Paridae. The record is from RNAcentral.
CGGCGAGGUCCAGGCUCAUUCGGGAGGAUCGCUUUGCUGCCUAUUAAGGAUGUGAUAGACUAAUAUUUGCUAUUGUUGCUGUUUUUUAGGUUCUCUUCUCCCUCUCUAUCAAGUCUGCCCCUCCCUUCGCUAGCCUGUUUAAAACCAGCAAGCUUCAUUUUCUUAGCAGACAAAGGUCGAUCACAGCUUUUAUUUCUGAAUGCAAAUGUUCUAGGACUUGUGCCAGUCCUGCCUUCAUUGAGCACAAUAUAGCUGCUUUCCUGAAUGGCGCUUCCCCCUUCCUUUCUAAAAAAUAAAAAUAGAAGGGAGCUUAAGAGAAGAAACAAAGUUGGGCGGUGCAAGUUUUUUACAUUUAUUUAAUUUUUUACUCUAUGUGAAGCAUUACUAAGCAUCCCUGUGUAGAGCAGCUGUAACGUAGCCGCCAGCCAAUGCAUGGUGUUUAAUUGUAGGGACACAUACGAGAGAAGGGACCUGGUGGCAUUGCUCAGCUCCUGGCUUUGCAGGUCUAGCUCUGGCCCUUGGAUGGGCAUCGCUCACGGCAGAGCUGCUGCAGCACACCGUGGAUUCAGCAUGCAGAGCCCUCAUCUCCAGCAGCCAGGUGGAACGGACCGCUGGGAAAAGGGAGUUUGGUGUGUGAUGGCAAGAUUCACCAGUGCCCCUUCCACCAUUGGUAAGUGUUACAGGAUCAGCCCAUACACACACUCAUGGUGACAUCCUGGCCACACAGGCAUAAAUGAGUUUUAGCCAGGGAUAUCAGUGGAUGCAGGGUUUAAUUUGUUGUGUUUUAAAAACCAGCAAAAUUUUAUGGAACAGGAUAAAUACUUCUGAUGAUUUUGUCUUGAGUAGAGAUAUAAAUAGAUUUGCUUCCUCACAGAAGCAGCAAGAGUCACUUGUAAAGGCUUACUCAUAUUUACCUGGUCACGGUUCAUUUGCAGCCAAAGGAACUAUCCUAUUUGUUGAGCUGCAAACACAAAAAGGUGUAGCAAUCUGCUAGUUGUUAGAAAAUGGUCUCAUGGGAUUUGGUGUUUUUUGAGUGGGGAGGGUUAAAUCUAACUCUAGUUUCAGUGGUUGAAAUUUUUUUUAAAAGUAAUUAUUUUCCUUUUCAGAAAUGAAAUAUUAUUGAGCUGCAUUAUAUGCAAAACAAUAAAUGGCUAAUACAGAUAUGUGUAGUAGAGUAG